RNAcentral lists this ribosomal RNA (467 nucleotides) under uncultured bacterium. RNAcentral's name for it is "partial 16S ribosomal RNA". It matches the Rfam family "Bacterial small subunit ribosomal RNA", at positions 29 to 507 of the family's 1533-position model. The record is from RNAcentral.
ACGAACGCUGGCGGCGUGCUUAACACAUGCAAGUCGAACGGAAAGGCCCUGCUUUUGUGGGGUGCUCGAGUGGCGAACGGGUGAGUAACACGUGAGUAACCUGCCCUUGACUUUGGGAUAACUUCAGGAAACUGGGGCUAAUACCGGAUAGGAGCUCCUGCUGCAUGGUGGGGGUUGGAAAGUUUCGGCGGUUGGGGAUGGACUCGCGGCUUAUCACCUUGUUGGUGGGGUAGUGGCUUACCAAGGCUUUGACGGGUAGCCGGCCUGAGAGGGUGACCGGCCACAUUGGGACUGAGAUACGGCCCAGACUCCUACGGGAGGCAGCAGUGGGGAAUAUUGCACAAUGGGCGGAAGCCUGAUGCAGCAACGCCGCGUGCGGGAUGACGGCCUUCGGGUUGUAAACCGCUUUCGCCUGUGACGAAGCGUGAGUGACGGUAAUGGGUAAAGAAGCACCGGCUAACUACGUG